GACGAACGCUGGCGGCGUGCUUAACACAUGCAAGUCGAACGGAAAGGCCCUUCUUUUGUGGGGUGCUCGAGUGGCGAACGGGUGAGUAACACGUGAGUAACCUGCCCUUGACUUUGGGAUAACUUCAGGAAACUUGGGCUAAUACCCGAUAGGAGCUCCUGCUGCAUGGUGGGGGAUGGAAAGUUUCGGCGGUUGGGGAUGGACUCGCGGCUUAUCAGCUUGUUGGUGGGGUAGUGGCUUACCAAGGCUUUGACGGGUAGCCGGCCUGAGAGGGUGACCGGCCACAUUGGGACUGAGAUACGGCCCAGACUCCUACGGGAGGCAGCAGGGGGGAAUAUUGCACAAUGGGCGGAAGCCUGAUGCAGCAACGCCGCGUGCGGGAUGACGGCCUUCGGGUUGUAAACAGCUUUCGCCUGUGACGAAGCGUGCGUGACGGUAAUGGGUAAAGAAGCACCGGCUAACUACGUG
Molecule: ribosomal RNA, 468 nt
Filed under: uncultured bacterium
Lineage: Bacteria
Description: partial 16S ribosomal RNA
Rfam family: Bacterial small subunit ribosomal RNA
Source: RNAcentral